Molecule: unclassified non-coding RNA, 309 nt
Filed under: uncultured fungus
Lineage: Eukaryota; Fungi
Description: partial contains small subunit ribosomal RNA, internal transcribed spacer 1, and 5.8S ribosomal RNA
Rfam family: Eukaryotic small subunit ribosomal RNA (bases 1-73)
Source: RNAcentral
ACAAACUUGGUCAUUUAGAGGAAGUAAAAGUCGUAACAAGGUUUCCGUAGGUGAACCUGCGGAAGGAUCAUUACAGAGAAAAGAGCUCCGGCUCUGACCUCCAACCCUUUGUUUACUUUACCACUGUUGCCUCGGCGGGUCGUCGACGCCCUUUACGGGGCGCCACCGUCGGCCCUCGCGCUCUCGAGUGCCCGCCGCCAGGCCCCAAAUAUAAACUCUUUGUAAACCCAGUCUUCUGAGAGUAAAUUUAAAUACUUCAAAACUUUCAACAACGGAUCUCUUGGUUCUGGCAUCGAUGAAGAACGCAGC